Molecule: long non-coding RNA, 944 nt
Organism: Oreochromis niloticus (Nile tilapia)
Lineage: Eukaryota; Metazoa; Chordata; Actinopteri; Cichliformes; Cichlidae
Exons: 3
Source: RefSeq, a predicted model, not a curated record
AGUCGGAUCUAAGAGCCGUUUCGUUCGCGACCGACACAUCACUACAAUAAAGUUUUAUCGGCUACACGUUUCAGCAUCUCGCUAGCACUACAGAAGCACAGCUGCUAACUUUUUUUGAAGUUUGGAGUAAUUUUGCAUACAAUGUUUCAAACAGCUCGACGAAUAUGACAGAGACUGUCUCUGUGCAGUUUGACACACAGCCUGCUAGUUAAGGACUUUAUAUUAAAGAGAGGAAAAACAACUGAUGUGAAAACAGUAACACGUACAGAGGACACGAGGACGGUGACGCUAUUUUUGAAAGGGUCUCGGUAGUCUCUCAUUCCAGAGAUUCCACCAGAGGACGCUGUCUGCCUUCUCAUCGCAAACAGCCCAGUUAACCUGUUAUGCUGCUGCCAUUGUCAUUGCCAUACUGGGAAUCCCUCCUGUCCUCAUCGGGGCUGUUGCUGCCUCCACAGGCCCAGGAGCUGAUGCUGUUGGAAACCUGUAGAAAGCGUCCACCUUAAUGUUGCUCCCACCCAAACAAUAUUUGAUGUUGUAACUGAAGGAUGCAGGUUGGGUAAGCCAAUGCAGUUCUGCUGUACACAGGCAAGAAGUCUGCAAAUGAGCAACAGGAUUACUGCCUGUAUACACUCUAAAUCAUGCCUGAGGCGGGUAGUAUUUAAACUUUAAAUGGCUUCCUAUUUAAGGGUAACCAACUCCCGUUUGAAAGAGCUGUAAUUGCCAUCAUUUAGUACUACAGGCUGUCAGCUUCAGCUGACAUAAAUUAUAACCUGUUCCUGCCCCUGACUGGUCGCGUCUGUGUAUACAAUGAAUAAUAAAGCAAGUUCACAACAACUUUCAAUAUUUAGUAUUUACUGAUGUUCACACUUAGCUAGAUUAACGUGAUGGUGUUGUGUUUAGUAUGUUGCUUUGUUUUUGUUUGGUUUUUUUUUUUUGCUUGUCUU